UACGUAGGGGGCUAGCGUUGCUCGGAAUCACUGGGCGUAAAGCGCACGUAGGCGGAUCGUUAAGUCGGAGGUGAAAUCCUGGAGCUCAACUCCAGAACUGCCUUCGAUACUGGCGAUCUAGGAGUCCGGGAGAGGUGAGUGGAACUCCGAGUGUAGAGGUGAAAUUCGUAGAUAUCGGGAGGAACACCGGUGGCGAAGGCGGCGACCUGGGACAAUACUGACGCUGAGGUGCGAAAGCGUGGGGAGCAAACAGG
This 254-nucleotide ribosomal RNA is filed under the name uncultured bacterium. RNAcentral's name for it is "partial 16S ribosomal RNA". It matches the Rfam family "Bacterial small subunit ribosomal RNA", at positions 524 to 776 of the family's 1533-position model. The record is from RNAcentral.